This 28-nucleotide non-coding RNA is filed under the name Mus musculus (house mouse). The record is from RNAcentral. Lineage: Eukaryota; Metazoa; Chordata; Mammalia; Rodentia; Muridae.
UAGCUGUAUCAGGAUCUCCUAAGAUUCU